Molecule: ribosomal RNA, 2938 nt
Filed under: Edwardsiella ictaluri
Lineage: Bacteria; Pseudomonadati; Pseudomonadota; Gammaproteobacteria; Enterobacterales; Hafniaceae
Description: 23S ribosomal RNA
Rfam family: Bacterial large subunit ribosomal RNA
Source: RNAcentral
GGGUUGUGAGGUUAAGUGACUAAGCGUACACGGUGGAUGCCUAGGCAGUCAGAGGCGAUGAAGGACGUGCUAAUCUGCGAUAAGCGUCGGUGAGCUGAUAUGAAGCGUUAUUAGCCGGCGAUGUCCGAAUGGGGAAACCCAGUGCAAUCCGUUGCACUAUCGUUAAGUGAAUCCAUAGCUUAACGAGGCGAACCAGGGGAACUGAAACAUCUAAGUACCCUGAGGAAAAGAAAUCAACCGAGAUUCCCCCAGUAGCGGCGAGCGAACGGGGAAGAGCCCAGAACCUGAAUCAGUUUGUGCAUUAGUGGAAGCGUCUGGAAAGUCGCGCGAUACAGGGUGAUAGCCCCGUACACGAAGGUGCACAGCUGUGAGUUCGAUGAGUAGGGCGGGACACGUGUUAUCCUGUCUGAAUAUGGGGGGACCAUCCUCCAAGGCUAAAUACUCCUGACUGACCGAUAGUGAACCAGUACCGUGAGGGAAAGGCGAAAAGAACCCCGGCGAGGGGAGUGAAAUAGAACCUGAAACCGUGUACGUACAAGCAGUGGGAGCACCCUUUUGGGUGUGACUGCGUACCUUUUGUAUAAUGGGUCAGCGACUUAUAUUUUGUAGCAAGGUUAACCGAAUAGGGGAGCCGUAGGGAAACCGAGUCUUAACUGGGCGUCUAGUUGCAAGGUAUAGACCCGAAACCCGGUGAUCUAGCCAUGGGCAGGUUGAAGGUUGGGUAACACUAACUGGAGGACCGAACCGACUAAUGUUGAAAAAUUAGCGGAUGACUUGUGGCUGGGGGUGAAAGGCCAAUCAAACCGGGAGAUAGCUGGUUCUCCCCGAAAGCUAUUUAGGUAGCGCCUCGUGAACUCAUCUUCGGGGGUAGAGCACUGUUUCGGCUAGGGGGUCAUCCCGACUUACCAACCCGAUGCAAACUACGAAUACCGAAGAAUGUUAUCACGGGAGACACACGGCGGGUGCUAACGUCCGUCGUGAAGAGGGAAACAACCCAGACCGCCAGCUAAGGUCCCAAAGUCAUGGUUAAGUGGGAAACGAUGUGGGAAGGCACAGACAGCCAGGAUGUUGGCUUAGAAGCAGCCAUCAUUUAAAGAAAGCGUAAUAGCUCACUGGUCGAGUCGGCCUGCGCGGAAGAUGUAACGGGGCUAAACCAUGCACCGAAGCUGCGGCAGCGACGCUUAGGCGUUGUUGGGUAGGGGAGCGUUCUGUAAGCCGUUGAAGGUGGCCUGUGAGGGCUGCUGGAGGUAUCAGAAGUGCGAAUGCUGACAUAAGUAACGAUAAAGCGGGUGAAAAGCCCGCUUGCCGGAAGACCAAGGGUUCCUGUCCAACGUUAAUCGGGGCAGGGUAAGUCGACCCCUAAGGCGAGGCCGAAAGGCGUAGUCGAUGGGAAACAGGUUAAUAUUCCUGUACUUGGUGUUAUUGCGAAGGGGGGACGGAGAAGGCUAGACCGGCCGGGCGACGGUUGUCCCGGUUUAAGCGUGUAGGUGUGAUGACCUGGCAAAUCCGGUUAUCUUUAACACUGAGGCGUGAUGACGAGGCACUACGGUGCUGAAGUGGUUAAUGCCCUGCUUCCAGGAAAAGCCUCUAAGCUCCAGAUAACACUGAAUCGUACCCCAAACCGACACAGGUGGUCAGGUAGAGAAUACCAAGGCGCUUGAGAGAACUCGGGUGAAGGAACUAGGCAAAAUGGUGCCGUAACUUCGGGAGAAGGCACGCUGGCAUGUAGGUGAAGUCCCUCGCGGAUGGAGCCGAAGCCAGUCGAAGAUACCAGCUGGCUGCAACUGUUUAAUAAAAACACAGCACUCUGCAAACACGAAAGUGGACGUAUAGGGUGUGACGCCUGCCCGGUGCUGGAAGGUUAAUUGAUGGGGUCAGCCGCAAGGCGAAGCUCUUGAUCGAAGCCCCAGUAAACGGCGGCCGUAACUAUAACGGUCCUAAGGUAGCGAAAUUCCUUGUCGGGUAAGUUCCGACCUGCACGAAUGGCGUAAUGAUGGCCAGGCUGUCUCCACCCGAGACUCAGUGAAAUUGAACUCGCUGUGAAGAUGCAGUGUACCCGCGGCAAGACGGAAAGACCCCGUGAACCUUUACUAUAGCUUGACACUGAACAUUGAACCUUGAUGUGUAGGAUAGGUGGGAGGCUUUGAAGUGUGGACGCCAGUCUGCAUGGAGCCGACCUUGAAAUACCACCCUUUAAUGUUUGAUGUUCUAACCUGGUCCCGUGAUCCGGGAUAGGGACAGUGUCUGGUGGGUAGUUUGACUGGGGCGGUCUCCUCCCAAAGAGUAACGGAGGAGCACGAAGGUUAGCUAAUCCUGGUCGGACAUCAGGAGGUUAGUGCAAAGGCAUAAGCUAGCUUGACUGCGAGAGUGACGGCUCGAGCAGGUGCGAAAGCAGGUCUUAGUGAUCCGGUGGUUCUGAAUGGAAGGGCCAUCGCUCAACGGAUAAAAGGUACUCCGGGGAUAACAGGCUGAUACCGCCCAAGAGUUCAUAUCGACGGCGGUGUUUGGCACCUCGAUGUCGGCUCAUCACAUCCUGGGGCUGAAGUAGGUCCCAAGGGUAUGGCUGUUCGCCAUUUAAAGUGGUACGCGAGCUGGGUUUAGAACGUCGUGAGACAGUUCGGUCCCUAUCUGCCGUGGGCGUUGGAAGAUUGAGAGGGGCUGCUCCUAGUACGAGAGGACCGGAGUGGACGCACCGCUGGUGUUCGGGUUGUGAUGCCAAUUGCAUUGCCCGGUAGCUACGUGCGGAAAAGAUAAGCGCUGAAAGCAUCUAAGCGCGAAACUUGCCUCGAGAUGAGUCUUCCCUUGGACCUUGAGUCCACUGAAGGAACGUUUAAGACUAAGACGUUGAUAGGCUGGGUGUGUAAGCGUAGCGAUACGUUGAGCUAACCAGUACUAAUGAUCCGAGAGGCUUAACCUUACAACACCGAAGGUGUUUUAG